RNAcentral lists this ribosomal RNA (754 nucleotides) under uncultured beta proteobacterium. RNAcentral describes it as "bacterial SSU rRNA". It matches the Rfam family "Bacterial small subunit ribosomal RNA", at positions 58 to 789 of the family's 1533-position model. The record is from RNAcentral. Lineage: Bacteria; Pseudomonadati; Pseudomonadota; Betaproteobacteria.
CAAGUCGAACGGCAGCACGAGGACGAGGGUAACUUCGCUCUUGGUGGCGAGUGGCGAACGGGUGAGUAAUAUAUCGGAACGUACCCAGGAGAGGGGGACAACGCCGCGAAAGCGGCGCUAAUACCGCAUACGAUCUACGGAAGAAAGUGGGGGACCGAGAAAUUGGCCUCACGCUCGUGGAACGGCCGAUAUCUGAUUAGCUAGUUGGUGGGGUAAAGGCCUACCAAGGCAUCGAUCAGUAGCUGGUCUGAGAGGACGACCAGCCACACUGGAACUGAGACACGGUCCAGACUCCUACGGGAGGCAGCAGUGGGGAAUUUUGGACAAUGGGCGCAAGCCUGAUCCAGCAAUGCCGCGUGAGUGAAGAAGGCCUUCGGGUUGUAAAGCUCUUUUGUCAGGGAAGAAACGGUAAUCUCAAAUAAAGGUUAUUAAUGACGGUACCUGAAGAAUAAGCACCGGCUAACUACGUGCCAGCAGCCGCGGUAAUACGUAGGGUGCAAGCGUUAAUCGGAAUUACUGGGCGUAAAGGGUGCGCAGGCGGUACGUUAAGUCAGAUGUGAAAUCCCCGGGCUCAACCUGGGAAUGGCAUUUGAAACUGGCGUGCUAGAGUGAAUCAGAGGGGGGUAGAAUUCCACGUGUAGCAGUGAAAUGCGUAGAGAUGUGGAGGAACACCGAUGGCGAAGGCAGCCCCCUGGGAAAAUCACUGACGCUCAAGCACGAAAAGCGUGGGGAGCAAACAGGAUUAGAUACCCUG